This is a long non-coding RNA of Notolabrus celidotus (New Zealand spotty), 1461 nucleotides long. RefSeq lists it as uncharacterized. Lineage: Eukaryota; Metazoa; Chordata; Actinopteri; Labriformes; Labridae. The record is from RefSeq and is a predicted model, not a curated record. The transcript is spliced from 4 exons.
AACAGGAGCGGGAUCUGGCGGAGCGCGUGCGUUACGCACCUGAACAGGACAGCUGAAGAGAGACGGGAGGUGUGGGGAGCAGAGAGUGAGGAAGGAUGAGCAGCAAUGGAUCGUGGCCGGGACUCGAACUGGCGAUCACUGUGGGCUCCUUUGAUCAGUAACGCUUCCAUGCAACGCAUUCUUCUCAGCUCACUUGCAGCGCCUGCAUCGCCACAAUGCUCCCCCCACACACUGCUGGGAUUAACCAACACAUCUUCUGCCCUGGAGGCCUGAAGAAGUCACCAGAGAGGAACCCAAGAUGCAGGAACUAACCAGUAGAGACCAGAGUCCCCAGAUGGAGAGAAGAAGGUAGCCCUCGUACAAGACUGAAGAAGGCCACUCACAUCAUUAUUUCUCUUAAGGACAACAAGUUGUCUCAUCAAAGCCAUUUUCAAUUUGAAAGUGAUGGAAAAGCUGGUAAUUACAAUUCUGCAAUCCUCAGAGAGACGUGUCUAAUCAGACUGAGCGGAGCCUGAGUGGACUCCUCUCAUGCAUCAGCUACAGCAGCUUAAUGAGACAGAGGUUCUACUGAAGAAGAAACAUCUGCCGGCUUGUGUUGGAUGUGGCAGUGCCGGGAAGAGAAGAGCUGGCACGGGAGAAACUGCAGAUGGCGUUUCAGAUAAAAAUUGUUUCUUACAUGUAGCUGCUGCCAAGGAUGAACUUUGUUCAUUGGCAGGGCAGGUCAAGUUAUAGAUCAGCAAAGAUUGAAGGGAUUGUAACAAGAUCAUUGACCAAAUAGGCCACAGGUUAUUUUCACCAAUUAUUCUACUAAUUACAUUUGGAGGCUGCCUGGAAACUCAAUUAAAUCAACACCAUCAAUAUGGAUUGAUUGGUCUAGAGUUUACAGAGGGACUCAACUGGUUCUACAUUUGAAUUAGAUUAAUAAAAAAAAAAGAAUGGUGAAAUGUGUGUCCAUGUAACAUCCAGACCUGCUUUAAGAGAGGCCUGCAUCGUUCGACUCAUCCAUUUCCCCUGACUGCCUCCCAAGGCGGGAUUUAGUUGUCUUCCAAACACUUCACUCAGAGAAGUUGCUCUCAGUCCCAAAAACAGCAACUCACAAAACAGGCCCAACAUCUCUCAAAGAGUCAUUUAUAUGUUAAAUAACGACACAAUGACACAAAGAAGGAAAAGGAAGACAACCAAAUCAACUCAAGGGUCGCAGGAUCAGGAUGCUUUCAUCUAACCUAUACCCGCAACAUAUCACCGGUUGUAACUCAUUUGAAGCAACAGAGAGGAUCAACAGAGGUUUAACACAAAACAAACAACAAAACAGAGAACUACAUAAAAAUGUUCAAAACAUAGCAACAGCUUCUAUAGUGCUAAAGCAUAUAGAGAGGGAGAGAGAAUUCCAGCUGAAGACAAGAACGUGACGUGACAGGACAUGUUUUUGCAAGAGCUGGAUGGUUUUGGAAUGGGAACAGA